CUACGGGAAACUGCAGUGGGGAAUAUUGGACAAUGGGCGAAAGCCUGAUCCAGCCAUGCCGCGUGUGUGAAGAAGGCCUUCGGGUUGUAAAGCACUUUCAGUGGGGAAGAAAGCCUUGGGGCUAAUACCCUCGAGGAAGGACAUCACCCACAGAAGAAGCACCGGCUAACUCCGUGCCAGCAGCCGCGGUAAUACGGAGGGUGCGAGCGUUAAUCGGAAUUACUGGGCGUAAAGCGCGCGUAGGCGGUCUGAUAAGCCGGUUGUGAAAGCCCCGGGCUCAACCUGGGAACGGCAUCCGGAACUGUCAGGCUAGAGUGCAGGAGAGGAAGGUAGAAUUCCCGGUGUAGCGGUGAAAUGCGUAGAGAUCGGGAGGAAUACCAGUGGCGAAGGCGGCCUUCUGGACUGACACUGACGCUGAGGUGCGAAAGCGUGGGUAGCAAACAGGAUUAGAUACCCGAGUAGUC
This 464-nucleotide ribosomal RNA is filed under the name Vreelandella stevensii. Its description in RNAcentral is "partial 16S ribosomal RNA". It matches the Rfam family "Bacterial small subunit ribosomal RNA", at positions 339 to 795 of the family's 1533-position model. Lineage: Bacteria; Pseudomonadati; Pseudomonadota; Gammaproteobacteria; Oceanospirillales; Halomonadaceae. The record is from RNAcentral.